CCUCCUUCGCGAAUAAUCAGUCCGCCAUUUCCUUCCUUCGCGAAAUUUUCAGACCUUUAAUUCAUUCCAUCUCCAUGUCGCAUUUCAGCCGCCGCCGCCGCUCACUGCUGAAAAACGUUGGUCGGAAAGUGGAUCUCCAUUUCCCUAUUCAGACUCCAUCGCCGCCGCACCCGCUACUCAGACUCCAUCGGUUUUCUCGUUGCUUGUUUCUCGUCUCCGUCGCCGUCGUUGCUGUUUCUCGUCGCCCGUGCCUUACCUGCUACAGGUAAUUAUAUAUAGACUCAUAACAAGAGGAACUAUCGAAGAAAGGAUGGUGCAGAUGACUAAGAAGAAAAUGGUUUUAGAGCAUCUAGUUGUUGGGAGGCUCAAGGCUCAAAAUAUCAACCAGGAAGAACUUGACAAUAUCAUUAGGUAUGGGUCAAAGGAGUUAUUUGCUGAUGACAAUGAUGAAACAGGAAAAUCCAGACAAAUUCAUUAUGAUAAUCCAAAAUCAAUCCCGGGUAUCUUCGUUUGAUCUGAUUGUCAAUGAUGUUAGGAAAUUAGCUAGAGCAUUUUCUAUUCUUUGUUUUUGUUUAAACGAUUUGCGAAUAGGAUUACCCAUAGCUAGAGAGACUUUAUCCAAGUCAGAUUGCAACAGAUCAGCAUAUAUGAUGGCUUUUUUGUUUUUGUUCUUUUUUUUUUUUUUUUUUUUUUGUUUUUAAAAUGCGUUCCAAUAUUUUUUUGUUUUAGUGAAUUGAUGGAACAUUGAGACUAUCCAACCAUUAUAUUUUUUUUUAUGUUUUAAUGAGAAUAAUAUUUUUAGACA
This is a long non-coding RNA of Ipomoea triloba (trilobed morning glory), 805 nucleotides long. RefSeq lists it as uncharacterized. The transcript is spliced from 3 exons. NCBI's taxonomy places the organism in Eukaryota, Viridiplantae, Streptophyta, Magnoliopsida, Solanales, Convolvulaceae. The record is from RefSeq and is a predicted model, not a curated record.